RNAcentral lists this ribosomal RNA (648 nucleotides) under uncultured bacterium. Its description in RNAcentral is "bacterial SSU rRNA". It matches the Rfam family "Bacterial small subunit ribosomal RNA", at positions 31 to 676 of the family's 1533-position model. The record is from RNAcentral.
GAACGCUGGCGGCAGGCCUAACACAUGCAAGUCGAACGGUAACAUUUCUAGCUUGCUAGAAGAUGACGAGUGGCGGACGGGUGAGUAAUGCUUGGGAACUUGCCUUUGCGAGGGGGAUAACAGUUGGAAACGACUGCUAAUACCGCAUAAUGUCUUCGGACCAAACGGGGCUUAGGCUCCGGCGCAAAGAGAGGCCCAAGUGAGAUUAGCUAGUUGGUAAGGUAACGGCUUACCAAGGCGACGAUCUCUAGCUGUUCUGAGAGGAAGAUCAGCCACACUGGGACUGAGACACGGCCCAGACUCCUACGGGAGGCAGCAGUGGGGAAUAUUGCACAAUGGGGGAAACCCUGAUGCAGCCAUGCCGCGUGUGUGAAGAAGGCCUUCGGGUUGUAAAGCACUUUCAGUUGUGAGGAAAAGUUAGUAGUUAAUACCUGCUAGCCGUGACGUUAACAACAGAAGAAGCACCGGCUAACUCCGUGCCAGCAGCCGCGGUAAUACGGAGGGUGCGAGCGUUAAUCGGAAUUACUGGGCGUAAAGCGCACGCAGGCGGUUUGUUAAGCUAGAUGUGAAAGCCCCGGGCUCAACCUGGGAUGGUCAUUUAGAACUGGCAGACUAGAGUCUUGGAGAGGGGAGUGGAAUUCCAGGUGU